RNAcentral lists this ribosomal RNA (315 nucleotides) under uncultured eukaryote. RNAcentral's name for it is "partial 18S ribosomal RNA". It matches the Rfam family "Eukaryotic small subunit ribosomal RNA", at positions 1470 to 1796 of the family's 1831-position model. The record is from RNAcentral.
CCCUUAGAUGUUCUGGGCCGCACGCGCGUUACACUGAUGCAUUCAACGAGUUCUUCCUUGGCCGAGAGGCCUGGGCAAUCUUUUGAACGUGCAUCGUGAUAGGGAUAGAUUAUUGCAAUUAUUAAUCUUGAACGAGGAAUUCCUAGUAAACGCAGUUCAUCAAACUGCAUUGAUUACGUCCCUGCCCUUUGUACACACCGCCCGUCGCACCUACCGAUUGAAUGGUCCGGUGAAGCCUCGGGAUUGCACAGGCCCCGUGUCUGGCGCGAGAAGUUGGCUAAACCUUACCAUUUAGAGGAAGGUGAANUCGUANCA